Molecule: long non-coding RNA, 3151 nt
Organism: Catharus ustulatus (Swainson's thrush)
Lineage: Eukaryota; Metazoa; Chordata; Aves; Passeriformes; Turdidae
Exons: 3
Source: RefSeq, a predicted model, not a curated record
ACAGUCAAAUGUGGAUUUUUGAAUGUGGAUUUUUGAACACACAGAAUCUGCAGAUGCCGUGGUCAUGGAGAUAAGUACCUGAACACAAAUCCCUCUGAGCGUUCUGACUGCGCUGCCCAUAUGGAGUUAUGAAAUCACCGUGCAAAUACAGAGUGUUUUCCAAACUGCUCAUCACACUAGGACCAAACCAAACACGAGCAGAGACUGAAUUACCUCUUGUCCAUGAAGAAAAUAUUGCUUUUGAUUGCAAGAUUGAGGUUUUUGGCAGGGUACCAGGGAGCUCCCAGUGUGGUUGCCUGUAAGACCCAGGAGUGUAUAUGGCUAGAGGGCAAACAUAAGAUUCCUGCUGUGCCAACAUAUCAACUUUUGUAAACACAAAUAUGGAAUGAAAAAAUAAGAAGCAGCACGACCAUAUCAUGCCAUAGAGAUUCGAGGAAACCAAUAUUUGGGAUGGGAAGAAGGCCUGAGAUCAUUAACCUUCAUUAACUACAGGAGUCCAGUGGGGAAAGAUUACCUCUGGCAUUAAAAAAGCACCUCAAAAAGCUGUUAAAAGAAGAAGAGACACCUCUGUUUGGAAGGGAAGAGUUGACAUCCUUGCAGUUUACAGGGGAAAUCUGUUCCACUGUCCAUACCCUCUAUCAUUGUUUAGUUGGAGAAGGGACACAUUUCCAGCUAGCCAGUUUUCAGCACGCAGCUAUGCAAGCACAUACCCACUGUCUCUAGAGACACCCCAGAAUACAAAUUUAUGAUACAAACCCCUCCGUGGACCACAUCAGUAUGUGAGAGACCUUCCAACUGCCUCCCAAACCACUGAGAGCUGGAACAAGAGAAACACCAGUGAAAGCUAAAGGUAAAAAACAAGAUACAGUGAACUAAAGGAAAAAAACAAGAUGACUGGACAAAAAGAAGUUGAAAAUAAUACGAAUGAACAGAGGGAAAGGGAGUGUUGCAAGCCAUCCAAAGGAAACUCAUAAAAUAAGGAAUGAUUUGGAAUCUAAGAAUCAAAUAGGGCCAAGGCCUAACUUUCCCUCAAAAAUUAGAUUCAUUGAUUCAAAUUAAAACAAGAUGUACUCUCAGCCAUUUUUCUCUGACUCAAAGGAAACUAGUGGUGGGAUAAGGAGUUAAAAUGGAGAUAGAAUUAAUGGAACUAAAGGGAAAAGGAAAUCAGUGAACCUGCAAAAACUUGGGAAGUAGUUGCUUUACGAAGGAAAAGAGGGCAAGGGGGUGGCAAGAACAUUAAAUUAACUUGUCCUGGAGUAGAAGUUCACAAUGGAGCAGAAUGGAAGGAGUAACUGACAGCGUGAAAAUAAAUCCGAUGUGUAGUAUGCACUGAUCUGUAAAUGAGGGAUAGGAUAAUAUAUUAUGGGAGACAUACUUGAUUUACAUCUUUCUUUAAAUUAUUUCAGGUCCGAAUGAAAAGACAACUGUUUGUUCUCUUUCUAUAGACGCAUUUAUAAUAUAUGUCAUAAAAGCUUUCAUUGUAUCUAAAUUGUAUCAGAAAUCUAAAUUAAAACAAUGUACAGUGUAUUAAUCCUUUGUCUUGUUACAGAAAGACAGCAUUAAAAUGUGGAUUCAAUGUAUCUUUUUUUGUGAAUGUCAUUAGUAUUUGAUUACAAUGAUCUGAAUUUAUCUGUACAACAAUAAUAUUUGUAUCCUCUCAGAAGUGGAGUGAAGAGAUGAGGGAUGACAGAACAAAUUGAGGUAAUAUAUCACACCAGUGAUAUGCCAUCUUUGUUUGAAACAUACUUGUUCACGCUAUCUAAUCCUUAAUUUUUAUAUAUAUAUGAUGACAGGCAUUUGAUCACAUUUCAAGAAGAACAAAGAGUAACAAAUAUUAAAGGACACUUCCUGAUUUAAGCGAAUUGCUGAUUACCGAUGAGUUCCAUGAACUCUGGAUCCCAACAGAGAAUGGAAUUCCAGAAUGAAAAACACAGCAAGAAAAUAAAUGCUGACCACCACACAGCCGGAGUGUCUGGAUGCCAGGGAUACUAUGAAACAGAUAUUUUGAGAUCUUCCAUGGUAUAUUACACAUAGAUCCCCCAAAAGAACCCAAUUACUUUAAAUCAUCCUAGCCUAUGUGAACUGAAGACAUAGAAGCAAAACAGACUUUCUACCACUCUGUUUUGCAAACCUGAUGCUGCUUUUUCCUCUGCUGAAAAUUUGCAUGUUUUCUCAGAGCCUGUUUCUUUCUCACAAUAAACAAUGCAAAGCCCUCCUGCCAAAAAAAUGUCCAAAUGCUAAACAGUUGCUAUUAUAGUCAUUAUUAUAGCAGCAACUUUGAGCUGCGUGCUUUUAAAUUAUAAUUAUUUUUACAAAAGAUUUUUGUGUGUCUUGAUUGCAGUAAUUAUUAUUCCAUAGUAGUAAAUGUCUAUUUAAAAAGUCACAUUAGCUUACUGUUCCAGAUAAAUUAGUUUCCUUAAAUGAACUUCAUACAUAUGGGUGGUUUUCUCUGUAUUUAUCUUAUUUGCUAUGCCAACAACAAACUAAGAUGUAUUAGACAGCUGAUAAAUUACUGUUUCAUUAUAAAAAUAACUAUUGAAAGACAUCAAAUGAAAUGUUUUUCAUGGAAAGGCUUCAUGCAGAUAAUACCAUGCUCUAAUUCAGGAAUGCCCAUUUCUCUUUAGUCUUGUUUCUCACCUAUCUCCCUUUGCUUUGUAAGGGGGACAUGCCAACAAAAUAAAAAAGCAGUGCAAAAGGAAAAAAAUAAUGUGAGACUAAUGUGUCAUACAGUCUAGCACACAUGCUAGUGAUAGGCCUGUACCUUGUUUAAAGAAUAUCCAAUUUUAACAACAGCACAUGGUCCAAGAAACAGGCUUCUUCAACAGCAAAUCUGGGAAUUAAGACAGAAAACAGUUCAGGCAGUGGGAUACCCAAAAACAGUGCUAACAUCCCAAAUCAGGACCCAUGUGGGACCAUUGCCACCGUGACAGGCAGGGAUUGGAGGUCAUGAUUUAAAGCACCCGUGGCAGUGUGCAUUCUCUUCUGGAGCAUCCCCAGGGCACUCUCUGUCCCUCUGCCAAUUCACAAGCUACUGAAGUUUAGCAGCUGAUUGGAGAAAAUUUUUUUUAAAAAAGGAAGUCCAGAAGAGGAAAUCAAGAGGGACCUGAGCAACAGAGGGUAGCAGACUUCUGGCUCCAAUGCCAUGCUCUUU